UAGUAUAUAAAUAAAUAAAUAUGCAAUGUGUAUAAACAGUGUAACUAAAACGCUAUGUAUGGUAGUAGAAAUAUUAGAACGAGAUAAAUGGAGAUUACAGUAUUUAAAUACAAACAGUAUGUACAGCAGUAGCUACAUACGAUGUGUAAACAUGAUUAAAGUGACCAGUGUUCAAUGACUCUAUGUACUUAGGGCAGCAGCCUCUAAGUUGCAGGGUUGUGUACCGGGUGGUAGCCGGCUAGCAACAGGGUCUAAGGUGCAGGGUUGUGUACCGGGUGGUAGCCGGCUAGCAACAGUGUCUAAGGUGCAGGGCAGGGUACCGGGUGGUAGCUGGCUAGCAACAGUGUCUAAGGUGCAGGGCAGGGUACCGGAUGGUAGCCGGCUAGCAACAGUGUCUAAGGUGCAGGGCAGGGUACCGGGUGGGGCCGGCUAGCAACAGUGUCUAAGGUGCAGGGCAGGGUACUGGGUGGGGCCGGCUAGCAACAGGGUCUAAGGUGCAGGGCAGGGUACUGGGUGGUAGCUGGCUAGCAACAGUGUCUAAGGUGCAGAGCAGGGUACUGGGUGGGGCCGGCUAGCAAUAGGGUCUAAGGUGCAGAGCAGGGUACUGGGUGGGGCCGGCUAGCAACAGGGUCUAAGGUGCAGGGCAGGGUACUGGGUGGGGCCGGCUAGCAACAGGGUCUAAGGUGCAGGGCAGGGUACUGGGUGGGGCCGGCUAGCAACAGGGUCUAAGGUGCAGGGCAGGGUACUGGGUGGGGCCGGCUAGCAACAGGGUCUAAGGUGCAGGGCAGGGUACUGGGUGGGGCCGGCUAGCAACAGGGUCUAAGGUGCAGGGCAGGGUACUGGGUGGGGCCGGCUAGCAACAGGGUCUAAGGUGCAGAGCAGGGUACUGGGUGGGGCCGGCUAGCAACAGGGUCUAAGGUGCAGAGCAGGGUACUGGGUGGGGCCGGCUAGCAACAGGGUCUAAGGUGCAGGGCAGGGUACCGGGUGGGGCCGGCUAGCAACAGGGUCUAAGGUGCAGGGCAGGGUACUGGGUGGGGCCGGCUAGCAACAGGGUCUAAGGUGCAGGGCAGGGUACUGGGUGGGGCCGGCUAGCAACAGGGUCUAAGGUGCAGAGCAGGGUACUGGGUGGGGCCGGCUAGCAACAGGGUCUAAGGUGCAGGGCAGGGUACCGGGUGGGGCCGGCUAGCAACAGGGUCUAAGGUGCAGGGCAGGGUACCGGG
Long non-coding RNA from Oncorhynchus keta (chum salmon), 1220 nucleotides. RefSeq lists it as uncharacterized. The transcript has 3 exons. The record is from RefSeq and is a predicted model, not a curated record. Lineage: Eukaryota; Metazoa; Chordata; Actinopteri; Salmoniformes; Salmonidae.